Molecule: ribosomal RNA, 648 nt
Filed under: Enterococcus faecium
Lineage: Bacteria; Bacillati; Bacillota; Bacilli; Lactobacillales; Enterococcaceae
Description: bacterial SSU rRNA
Rfam family: Bacterial small subunit ribosomal RNA
Source: RNAcentral
CUCAGGACGAACGCUGGCGGCGUGCCUAAUACAUGCAAGUCGAACGCUUCUUUUUCCACCGGAGCUUGCUCCACCGGAAAAAGAGGAGUGGCGAACGGGUGAGUAACACGUGGGUAACCUGCCCAUCAGAAGGGGAUAACACUUGGAAACAGGUGCUAAUACCGUAUAACAAUCGAAACCGCAUGGUUUUGAUUUGAAAGGCGCUUUCGGGUGUCGCUGAUGGAUGGACCCGCGGUGCAUUAGCUAGUUGGUGAGGUAACGGCUCACCAAGGCCACGAUGCAUAGCCGACCUGAGAGGGUGAUCGGCCACAUUGGGACUGAGACACGGCCCAAACUCCUACGGGAGGCAGCAGUAGGGAAUCUUCGGCAAUGGACGAAAGUCUGACCGAGCAACGCCGCGUGAGUGAAGAAGGUUUUCGGAUCGUAAAACUCUGUUGUUAGAGAAGAACAAGGAUGAGAGUAACUGUUCAUCCCUUGACGGUAUCUAACCAGAAAGCCACGGCUAACUACGUGCCAGCAGCCGCGGUAAUACGUAGGUGGCAAGCGUUGUCCGGAUUUAUUGGGCGUAAAGCGAGCGCAGGCGGUUUCUUAAGUCUGAUGUGAAAGCCCCCGGCUCAACCGGGGAGGGUCAUUGGAAACUGGGAGACU